AAUAGAUUGAAAUUGAUAGAAAGCUGGAAUUGACUCUAGGGAUACUUCCCUGAGGCUGGGUCUCCAUUGCAGCUUCCUGUCUGGUCUCCU
Molecule: long non-coding RNA, 90 nt
Organism: Hyaena hyaena (striped hyena)
Lineage: Eukaryota; Metazoa; Chordata; Mammalia; Carnivora; Hyaenidae
Exons: 3
Source: RefSeq, a predicted model, not a curated record